RNAcentral lists this non-coding RNA (24 nucleotides) under Arabidopsis thaliana (thale cress). Lineage: Eukaryota; Viridiplantae; Streptophyta; Magnoliopsida; Brassicales; Brassicaceae. The record is from RNAcentral.
AAAUGGCAUGGACCGCAUUUCAAA